Mytilus californianus (California mussel) is the source of this 1520-nucleotide long non-coding RNA. RefSeq lists it as uncharacterized. The record is from RefSeq and is a predicted model, not a curated record. Lineage: Eukaryota; Metazoa; Mollusca; Bivalvia; Mytilida; Mytilidae. The transcript has 2 exons.
GGUGGCAUCACUUUUACCUUUCUUUAGUUAUGCCCCUUUAUAAACAUAAAAAUUGCUGAAUGUUUCGUUUCCGUUCUCUUACUUUAGUUUGCCUCAACCAAAUGUUAAGAAACUUAUACACAAUGCUUAUUACCACAAAAUACAGAUCAAGUUUGAAUUUUGGUGGUAUCACUUUUACCGUUCUAGAGUUGUGCCUGUUUACAAAUGGAAAAAUUGCUGAAUUUUUCGUUUCUGUUCUCUAACUUAAGUUAGCGUCAACCAAAUGUUAUGAGACUUAUACAUAAUACUUAUUACCACAAAACUCAGAUCUAGUACAAAUUUGGGUAGCGUCAUUUUUACCGUUUUCAGUUUUGUCCCUUUAUAACCUUAUAUGAUAUGCAAGCAGGGGCAUCAUCUGUGUCCCAUGGACACAUUCCCCAUUUAUUUUAGUUAUUGCCCUUGUAACUUGGAUAGAUAAAAUAUGUGCAAUGCGGGGGACAUUGGAAUAUGUUCUUUUAUUUUUAGUCCCCUACCAACGAAGUCGAAGGGGGCUUUAGGUUUGCACUCCGUCCGUCUGUCUGUCUGUCAGUCUGUCCGUCUGUCUGUCUGUCUGUCCGUCUGUCAGUACGGCAAAUCAGUUUUCCAGACUUUUUUUUUUGUGCUUGAAGAUAUUGAUUUGAUAUUUGGUUUAUUGAUUUAUCAUGACAAGUUACAGGUCAAGUUCAAUUUUCACGAUUUUAGCUUUUCUCUUUGUUUAGUUAAAGCCCUUUCCCUAGAAUUAAAUUUUUGAUGAAAUACUUAUUAAUUUGUAGAUUUCUGUUCAAAGGGAAAUAACUCAUUUUUUAAAAGACUUUCAGAAGACAAAAUGACAUUUUGGAUCUUUAUCCUUUUCUUUGGUAAAUUGUUUGAAGAAUUUAGUAGUAGGUUUGUUUGUCAUUCUUGAAGAUAUUGAUUUGAUAAUUAGUAUAUAGUUUUAUCAUAACAAGUUACAGAUCAAGUUGGAAUUUUGUUCCAGUCGGAUAAUUUUGUGCAGAGUUAUGGUUUUUUUCGUAAUGCUUGAAGAUUUUGACUUGAUAUUUUUAUGUAGUUUACACCAUAACAAGUUAUAGAUCAAGUUAGAAUUUCGUUCCAUUUCAAUGAAUUUGUAACUGGUAGGGGACUAUGAAUUGCCAUGCAAUACUCACAGAAUGCUUGUUUUUAUAUUGGUAUGACGUUGGCGUCGUCGUCGUCCGAAAACACAUUGGUUUUCGCACUCUAACUUUAGUUUAAGUGAAUGGAUCUCUAUGAAAUUUUACCAUAAGGUUCAAUACCACAAAAGGAAGGUUGGGAUUGAUUUUGGGGGUUAUGGUACCAACAGUAAAGGAAUUAGGGGCCAAAAGUGGCCAAAAAUAAGCAUUUUUGUAACUUCCAGACAUAACUUGUGUGUUAGUGUAUGGAUCUCUCUGACAUUGUACCACAAGGUUCAAUAUCACAAAAGGAAUGCUGGGAUUGAUUUUGGGGGUAAUUGCCUCAAAAUUUUAGAAAAAAGGGGCAAAAAACAA